Molecule: long non-coding RNA, 566 nt
Organism: Papaver somniferum (opium poppy)
Lineage: Eukaryota; Viridiplantae; Streptophyta; Magnoliopsida; Ranunculales; Papaveraceae
Exons: 2
Source: RefSeq, a predicted model, not a curated record
UCCACACUCAAAAAAUCCCCAAUUCCAUCGCCGUAUUUCUCAUAAACCCUAGACUUUUUCUCUGUAAAUCUUUGCUUGUUUCAAAAUUCCAAGUUUAUCACUUCUUUCUUCAACUACAAAGGGGUGGGUUGCGAUGGAGUAUUUCAAAAUAAUUUUCGCUUCUGCCUUCAACUACAAGGGGAUUUCGGGGGAUCAUUUCGAGUUUCUCCGAUAAGGGAUUACACUGAACAUAUCAAUUCAUCCUACUGAUUCUGGCGGAGUGUAAUAGACUUUGCUGCUCUCAAGCAAAGCUCGGUAUCUUUCUUAUUGAGAAACCUUCACAAUCAGCACACGCAAGGUCAAGAGCUGCUAAGUUACUCCUCACUUGACUAACCAUACAUAGUUGCAGAGAGUUUUUUUUGGACGUGGUUUCCUUACUGAUAUUUUGGCAAAAAUCUUUUGUUUUUUUUUUGUUUUUUUUGUUUGAUCUGUGUAGUUUACAGAUAGCAUGUUCAGUGAUUAAAUUAAUCAUCAAAAAUGUAUUUUUUUCCAUCUAUUUAUGAGUUAAAAACUAUGAAUUUUUCUUA